UCUCAACUCCUUGUUUACAUCUCAGCUUGAUGUUGCUGACUGAAGCUUGUAUGCUUGGACAAGAAAAAUUCAGGAAAAACAUUUUUACUGGGAAAAAAAACACUUAGGACAUGCAUAAAGAUGUUGAACCAGUGUCCAUUUAUUCUGUUGCAUCGAGAUUGAACUCUCUGGCCAACAUCAACAUCAGUGGGACACUAUAAGCAGGAGAUAACAUAUAUGAUGUUAAUGGAGGAGACAAGUGAAUGAACCCCAGAUGUUAUACUUUGUAUUUCUUGGUCCAGUGAUGACAUGGCCGAAUUGGCAUCUGGCUCUGUAUCAAGACCUGAUGUGUUGGUAAGAAUUAGAAUUGGGUAGUCUGCUGCUGGCAAGACAGCAUGUGAGGUUGUGGGAGUGGGGUGCCUUUUAGCUAGAAUAGGCUUGACCACUAAAGCUAAUAACAAUGAUGAUGGGAGAAAUUCUGUUGUUAUGGGAUUAGUAGGUAACAGGUCAGAGUGGAGUCUGAGUCUGGCCCUGUUGAUCUGAGUGGUGAUGGUUUGGGGAUUGUAAGUGUAGGAGAUAUUCCUUUGUAAUAACCUCUGUAAUAUCUUUGUAAGUGUAGGAGACCCUGUUGUAGAUCCCUGAGGUAUGCAGGCUGGUCAGUGGGAUGAGAGCAGAUAUGUUUGUAACAUAGGGUUUGGUUGUAAAUAGUUGUGUCCUUAGGAUAAAAGCUGGUGGUAUGGAGGUAGCUACAGCAGUUAGUGGCCAUACAAAGUUUCAUAGCACUGUCUAAGAAAUUACUUUUCUGGGUGCAGUGUUCAAGGGUUCUUUUGGAGGGGUGGAGAUUGUUAAAGUCCUAAUAGAAUUUCUCCAGAAACUCCCUCCCAUGUGUUCACAUGAUGAAGAAUAUUAUUAAUGUACCUCAGGUGUACUUGGGGGAUCAGAGAGUAGCUGCAGAGGAAGGGGACUUAGAUAGCCAUCAUAAAUAUAUUGGAAUAUUUGCAUGGGUAGGAAGGCAGAAGGGUUGGGGGCAGCAUUGCCAGAUAUACAAUAAUUAUUGCAUUUGUAUAAUAAUUUCAACCCCUGUACAACGCAUGAUAGCUAAUACUAAAAGUGUUCAAAAUGUACAAUAAUUUUAAGGCAGUUAAUUGAUGCAGCUUAUGUAAAACCCGAGUCACUCUCAGGGAGUCUUAACCAACUUGGGUUUUGCUGUCAGUACUUUCUUAUGACUGCUUGCCUCAAAAUAAAGAAAUGCUUCAACUUUGAA
This is a long non-coding RNA of Alligator mississippiensis (American alligator), 1243 nucleotides long. RefSeq lists it as uncharacterized. NCBI's taxonomy places the organism in Eukaryota, Metazoa, Chordata, Crocodylia, Alligatoridae. The transcript is spliced from 2 exons. The record is from RefSeq and is a predicted model, not a curated record.